Molecule: non-coding RNA, 25 nt
Filed under: Mus musculus (house mouse)
Lineage: Eukaryota; Metazoa; Chordata; Mammalia; Rodentia; Muridae
Source: RNAcentral
UAAGGGCAUGGAAAUCAUUGUCCAA